This 2780-nucleotide small RNA is filed under the name Rattus norvegicus (Norway rat). RNAcentral describes it as "uncharacterized LOC102547969". The record is from RNAcentral. Lineage: Eukaryota; Metazoa; Chordata; Mammalia; Rodentia; Muridae.
UUCUUUCUCUCCAACACAGUGUUGGGGGCUAUAACCCAAUAAACUAGGCAAACAAAACAAAACAAACAAAACCACCAACAGUGGUGGAUGUAGCUCAGCUUAUGGAGAAGAAAUGAUGUCAGAAUGACAGAAGCAAUGUGAGGAGACUCAUCGAGAGAAGGCAGCUUCAGCUCCAGGCUGAGGGCUGAGCCGUGGUCACCCUGUUGGGAGAGGGCUAUGAAAGCAUGGGAGGGUAGCAAAACACAUCUGGGAACACGACUUUGAUGAGGAAGGGACAUGAAGGAUCAAGGCAGGGGCCAGUUCUCCAGGGUCUAUAAGGCCGAGUGCAGGGCAAGGGUCAUAUUUACAGGUCCAGGCCAGUGGCUCAUCAAGAAUUGCCAGGAGUUGGAGAGUGUCAAGUCGCAUGCUUUUGUGCACUCAGGAUGUCCACUCAGGGUAUGCUGUGACUUGUGUGUUCUGGUCUAGGUGUCUCCACUGCCUGCUUGGACAUCUCUAAAUCAUGACAGGAACCAGUGGGAACUAGCCUUUCUUUUAGUGUAUUUAUUUAUUCUUCCUCCUGUUUGCCCACCUGUUAAGUUAACAGGACACAGCUGGGUCUGGAUGGUGCUUGCACAUCCUGGAUAGGUGUUCUAGAACCAUCCUGACUGGCAUCCUUUGCUUCUUUUUGCCAUUCUGCUUAUUACCAGGGCUUCUGUGUCUCGUGGGGUCCGGGUGAGACUGUGAGGAGUUUCUAGGGAGGGCUGUGGCUGGAGUACUUUGAUCAGCCAAGCUGGAGGGUCUCUCAGACUCAGUUUCCUUAGGGUAAGUGGGAAGACUGGCGCUCUCCCAGAGAGUAGACCAAGCACAGUCCCAGAGGCUGCUCUCAGAGGAUCAGAAUAGUUCUUUCUUUAGAAAAAAAAACAGCCUUUGUAGGUCCUGACGAAGGCAUCAGAAGACCCAGUUAAUGGUUCUCUACCCCAUAAAGUCCUUCUGGUGAAAUACAGAGAACACUGGGUCACUUCUUAGCUUGCUUUUCAGGAGUGGGAGGGUAGCCAUGGUGUGAAGAGGCCCGGGUUAAUGAAAAAGCAAAGGUAUUUGUCCGUGCUUGGAAUAAUGUUUGCUUUGGAUUGGCAGAAACAGACUUGGAGAGAAGUUUACGACUUGAUUUUGUGUUUACUAGUUGUGUUGCUUUGGGAAUGGCAAGUCACCUGCCUUACUUUGUUUUUAUUUGACAGUGAGAAGUAAUCAUUUUUUCUGCUUCAAGGUUAAUGUGAGGAAUAUAUAUGCUGAUAUUGUGCACCCCUUCCUUCACCCAUUUCCAGGAACUGAAGACAAUAUGGAACCUUGUUUUCUGACCAUGAGAAUAGCAGUCGCUAACCCAGUGGGCUGCAUGUCAACAUGCCAUGCGGUGUGGGUGGGGGAAGACUCCCAGAGGUCUGCCAGCUUUGUGGCCAGCCUACAAUGGGAGCCACUAUGAUGUGCAGGAACCCAGAAACCUGAAAUGCUCCCAACUGGCUGGAAAUCUCAGCUUCCUGUGGUGCUCUGACACUCUCCUGUAUAGAAUUUCAACAUCUUCUGAGAUUUGAAGACACUUGAUGGAAAAUGUUGUAGAGAGUUCACACCAUCCAUAGUCAUUGUACUGGGAGAGAGAAGGAAGCAAAUGGGCAGGAACAUUGAUUACGGGCUUCCGCAUGGUUUCCAGUGACAGCACAGACCACAAACAUGCCAUCCAGCUACAGAAGAAACAAAGACCCAGACAAGGCCCUCAGAGGCAGCCUGGACCACUAGCAUCAACAUGGCCUCAGGUGACAGUGUAGCGCACUCACCUCAAUAUGAUCCCUGGUAGCAACACUGCUCAUAGAUAACAUGGCCCCAGGAUGCAGCAUAGAGAAAUCUGAGACCUGGGACCCAGACAUGGCCCUUGGCAGCAGCAUGAUCUGGACAUCACCAUGGCCCCAGGUGUCAGUGCAGACCACCGAUACCAAAAUGGCCCCUGGUGGUAGCAUGGCCAUGGACAUAAAUACAUCAUCAGGUUGUAGCACGGAGCAUGCACAUCCUUAUAGCCUUGGAUGGUAACACAGACCACAGACCAACAUGGCCUUGGUCAUAUCAGGACUCACUCAUGGCACUUAGCAGUAGUACAAACCUUAUGCCUCAACAUGGCCUUAGGUGGCUACACAAGCCAUUCACAUCAACACUUCUCUCUUCAAAUGGGCUUCAAUUAGCAGCAGACUGCAUAUGUUCACAUGGAUUAUCUUUAUAGAUCUGGGGGAGAAGUUUUAUUUUGUUCAUUUAUUUGUUUUUUUUUUGUGUGUGUUUGUUUUUUUGUUUUUGUUUUUGUUUUUCAAGACAGAGUUUCUCAGUCCUAGCUGUCUUUGUAUUCACUUUGUAGACAAGGCUAACCUUUAGGGACCCUGUUAAUCAUCUGAUGUAUUUGAAACCAUAUUAUGAUGGUUAGUUUUAAUUUUCAAGUGUACACAGCCUAGAAUUACCUAGGAAAAUUGUCUAAAUGAGGAGUUUAAUUUGGGUUGGCCUAUGGGCAUGUGUGUAGAAUAUUGUCUUAAUUAAGAUAAUUUUAUGAGAAGGCCCAAUGCAGUAUGGGGGGCUCCAUUGCCUAAACAAGGGUCUUGGUCUGUAUAAGAGUAGAAAAAUCCAAGUCAGCAAACUUGUACACCAAUACUUCUGCAGCUUUUGACUGUGAAUGUGAUGAGACCAGCUCUUUGAAGUUCCUUCCUUGAUUUCCCCAUGAUGAUAGACUGUAAUCUGAAAACAUAAGCUAAAUAAACCCUUUUCUCCAUAUU